This 321-nucleotide ribosomal RNA is filed under the name uncultured Cercozoa. RNAcentral describes it as "SSU rRNA". It matches the Rfam family "Eukaryotic small subunit ribosomal RNA", at positions 634 to 955 of the family's 1831-position model. The record is from RNAcentral. Lineage: Eukaryota; Cercozoa.
GAUUUCUGACCUGAAACAUUUUGCCGGCCACGGUUUCGUGUGUUAGUGCUUGAUGUUCUGGUCAUCCUUCCAAUCGCUACUUGUUUCUCUUCAUUGAUUAGCAAGUGGUAUUGGAUCUUUUACUUUGAAAAAAUUAGAGUGUUUCAAGCAGGCUAUUGCUAUGAAUACAUUAGCAUGGAAUAAUAAUUUAGGACUUCGGUUCUAUUUUGUUGGUUUCUAGGACUGAAGUAAUGAUUGAUAGGGAUAGUUGGGGGUGCUAGUAUUCAGCGGCCAGAGGUGAAAUUCUUGGAUUCGCUGAAGACUAACUUAUGCGAAAGCAUU